RNAcentral lists this transfer RNA (66 nucleotides) under Rugilus geniculatus. RNAcentral describes it as "tRNA-Trp". Lineage: Eukaryota; Metazoa; Arthropoda; Insecta; Coleoptera; Staphylinidae. The record is from RNAcentral.
AAGGAUUUAAGUUAAAUAAACUUGUAACCUUCAAAGCUACCAAUAAAGUCCUCUCUUUAAGCCUUA